Molecule: ribosomal RNA, 376 nt
Filed under: uncultured bacterium
Lineage: Bacteria
Description: partial 16S ribosomal RNA
Rfam family: Bacterial small subunit ribosomal RNA
Source: RNAcentral
CCUACGGGUGGCAGCAGUGGGGAAUAUUGGACAAUGGGGGAAACGCUGAUGCAGCGAAGCAGCGUGAGUGAAGACGUAACUAGUUAUGGAAAGCUCUAUCAGCAGGGGAGAAAAUGACGGUACCUGAGUAAGAAGCCCGGGAUAACUACGGGACAGCAGCGGCGGUAAUACGGAAGGGGCAAGCGUUAUACGGAUUUACUGGGUGUAAAGGGAGCGUAGGCGGCUGUGCAAGUCUGGAGUGAAAGGCGGGGGCGCAACCCCCGGACUGCGCUGGAAACUGUACGGCUUGAGUGCAGGAGAGGUAAGUGGAAUUCGUGGUGUAGCGGUGAAAUGCGUAGAUAUUAGGAAGAACACCAGUUGCGAAGGCGGCUUACUG